UACGUAGGGUGCAAGCGUUAUCCGGAAUUAUUGGGCGUAAAGAGCUCGUAGGCGGUUUGUCGCGUCUGCUGUGAAAACUGGGGGCUCAACCCCCAGCCUGCAGUGGGUACUGGCAGACUAGAGUGCGGUAGGGGAGAUUGGAAUUCCUGGUGUAGCGGUGGAAUGCGCAGAUAUCAGGAGGAACACCGAUUGCGAAGGCAGCUUACUAUGGUGUCAUUGACACUGAGGCACGAAAGCGUGGGGAUCAAACAGG
This 253-nucleotide ribosomal RNA is filed under the name uncultured bacterium. Its description in RNAcentral is "partial 16S ribosomal RNA". It matches the Rfam family "Bacterial small subunit ribosomal RNA", at positions 524 to 776 of the family's 1533-position model. The record is from RNAcentral.